Poecilia reticulata (guppy) is the source of this 593-nucleotide long non-coding RNA. RefSeq lists it as uncharacterized. Lineage: Eukaryota; Metazoa; Chordata; Actinopteri; Cyprinodontiformes; Poeciliidae. The record is from RefSeq and is a predicted model, not a curated record.
CCUUAUUUUCUCCAGGUGCAUUCUGGGUUAAGCUUGUCACCAACGUCAUCAUCAGUCACUUGGCAACAAAUAGCAAACUAGCUAGAGCUACGGAACUUUAACAUGUUUUGAAUUUGUGUUGUUUCAUCAUUAGUGACCAGUAGCCUCUUGUUUCUGUUCUUCUCUUGGUUUAUUGUACUUCAUGUCAGAUGGACUUCAAAAUGGCAUAGUCGCUCUCUGUGGUGGUGAAACUUGUUAGCUCCGCUGUUGCGGGCAUGUCCAUGUUGUAAGGUUAAAUUAUCAUGAGCUUUAUUCUUUGGGCCCGGUCAUUAGCCCCGCCCCCCGGCCCACGCCGUCUUGUUCCGCUACUGCGUCACAUGUUUGCCUGAGGAGCGGAGGCAGCAGUAUGGCGUCUUGUCUGGAGCUUAUUAUAACAAGUGUCAUGUUGGUGAUUGAAUCCUGUUAUGAAGACUUCAACACAUUUCUUCAGACAGGUGGGCAGAGUAAUUUGAAUGACUAUGACUGUGACACACACAGGCUGGAAGUCUUCCUCCUUCAUAUUGGUGAAAACAAGAGCAGCACCAAAGACACUUCACUAUCGGUGACCACAAGAC